Molecule: long non-coding RNA, 19895 nt
Filed under: Citrus x clementina
Lineage: Eukaryota; Viridiplantae; Streptophyta; Magnoliopsida; Sapindales; Rutaceae
Description: Citrus clementina (C. clementina) long non-coding RNA (CCLE_LNC005616)
Source: RNAcentral
AGGUCUCAGAUUUCGGCCUUGCAAAGUUUCAUCCCAAGGAAAAUGAUUUUGUGUCCAUCAGUGCCACAAGAGGAACCAUAGGAUACAUAGCACCUGAGCUGAUUUCAAGGAAUUUUGGAACUGUUUCUUGCAAGUCAGAUGUUUACGGUUUUGGGAUGGUGUUGUUGGAAAUGGCUGGAGGAAGAAGGAAUUCUAAUAUGAAUGCAACUCGUUCAAGCAAAGCAUAUUUCCCAUCUUGGGUAUAUGACCAAUUAAAUAAGGGAGGUGAUUUAGAGCUUCAGAAUGUGACUGAAAUCGAGUCCGUGAUUGCAAGGAAACUAUGUAUGAUUGGUUUAUGGUGUAUUCAGGUGAAGCCAGCUGAUCGCCCCUCUAUGACAAAAGUAUUGGAAAUGUUAGAAGGGAGUAUCGAUGAUUUGCAAAUGCCUCCGAAACCUUUCUUCUCUUCUUCUUGACAUAUCUCCGGAAGAGAGAUUGAAUCAGAUUCUUCAACAGAGUUGUUAGUGUCUGAAUCGAUUGAGGAAUGUUCUUUCAAUGAUAGUUAUGCUUAGUUUUGGCAAUGAUAUGUGUAAAAAAGAAAUAAAUUGUCGUCGUGCUACCAGAGCUUCUAUAACAUUAUGUUGAAAAAUUUCAGUACGAUUCAUUGUUCGAUGUGAAUAUUCCAAUUUUGCUCGCAUCGACCAGAAUAUGGUGAAGGUUUGUCAUGUGAUCAUGUACAUUCAUCAAACUAUUGAAACGCUGCUUGCUGCAUCUCUGAUUGAGCUAGAGUAUGCUUUGAACUCUCUGGUCCUGCUGAACUUAAUUUAAAGUACAAUUACCAAAGUAUAUCGUAGACACCUAGCUAUCACCACACAUCCACUUUUACUUAAUAGAUAAUAAUUUCAUCUCACAACAGUGAUGAAUUAAAAGACAUCUAGUUCCCAUCAAUCCUAAACACACCCUUAGUCUCCCACUGAUAUAUUAUAGUAAGCGGAGGGUAGCUGCUAGGAAUUACCUAUUUUCUAAAGAACAUUACUUACUGAUCUUAAAAACAUAAUUUUCUCAUUUCUUUAUCUACAAAUUACUUUCGCAACUCUCACUAAAAUCUAUAUCACAAACAGCAAGUCCCAUCCUAUUCCUUCAUGCAUCUGAUAUUGGCAGAUAUUAAAGUUGACUAGUCUCUUUGGGGCUACCAUUGACUUAGAAAAUGGAGAAAAGAAAGAAGGAAAGAACAGAAGAAAUUAAAAAGAAACCCAUUUUCGUACCUUUUUCCGUGACAAAUUGACAAUCAAACUCUGCUCUCCCUCAUUACUCCAAAAGCAUAACUCAAACUCUGUUCUAACUCAAACUCCGCUCUGCCUCUCCCUCCAUGUCCCUCGUGAUGAGUUUAAUAAUCCUCUUCCUCUUCUUACCAUACACAUGUACAUUAGCCAAAGCUUCUGCAGAAGACAACAAGACAGAUAAAUAUGAAUUCUGUCAACCAACAAGAUGCAGUAAUAAGAGCCCAAGGAUCAGAUAUCCCUUCAGACUCAAAGCUCAACCAACAUCUUGUGGCCUUGAAGGGUUUGAAUUGUCAUGCUUAAGUGACAAGACAAUCUUGCAUCUUCCUUCCUCUGGUGAUUAUUAUGUCCACGAAAUUUCUUAUCUGGACAGCAGUAUUACCAUUGCAGAUGUGAAUGAGACGGCAUGCCCGUUUCAAAGUCUUAUCUCUGUCAACCUCACAAACUCCAAAUUCUUUCUUCCCUUUAAUGAAAGUUACGCUUUAUGUAACUGCCCUGAGAAGGUUGCUGCAGAACGGACUUCUGUUGAAGCAAUUGGACCUAUCAAUUGUCUUAGCAAUGAAAACAAUCUUUUCUAUGCCAUAUAUAGCGAAUAUUCAAUGGAGUAUAUGCCUCCAUCUUGCAGAAAAUCUCGAACAGUUGAGAUUCCUGAUGGGUUACCUCUGCAGGAUAUUGCAACGACGGCGAGGGCAAGACCAGUAGUCUUAGGAUGGGAAACUCUUGAUGGAUGCUACGACUGCGAAAAUUCAGGGAAUUAUUGUGGGUUCAACACUACAAGCAAUUCGACAAUCUGCGUUUAUUGUGGGUUCAAUACUACAAGCAAUUCGACAAUCUGCGUUGCCGUUAAAAACCAAAAACGUAAGUAAUCAUAUCUUUUCUCAGUCACCUCUCUCUACAGUGCUUGAAAGUGAAAGCCUCGUCUCUAUUUAGCAAACAAUAAAAAUAAUAAGUUGAAUUUAUUAUCAUUGUUAUAUAUGCCGGAAAAUUUAUCAGAGCAGUGUAAAUGAAAAGAAAAAAUAAUAAUAAUUAGGCUUUGCAUUAUUUUUUCAAUUGUAAAAGUGUAAUUACAAUUGCUAGAAGUUAAAAAUUAAAGAAGCCAUCUAUAUUAAUAGGGGUGGCCACUGGGCAAAGGUUAGAUUUAGUUGAAUUCCGAUGGUGAGUUUUUUAAAAAAUUAACAAUUUGAACUGAACUGAAAAUCCAAUCAAUUUGGUUCGAUUUAGUUAGGCUUUUUUUGUUUUUUUUUUUCAUUUGAGCUGUAAUUUCUUUUGCCUUUUCCUACUUUUUUAUUUUUUAUUUUCUCUCAUUUAAAUCGAUGAAUUUUUUUUUGAAAAAAAACUGACGAUUCGUUUUUUUGGCAGCAAAUAUAAUUUUACCCACCCCUAAUCUGCAUGGCAAAUAUCAUUGCUAUUAAAGGCUGCUUCCAGUAUUAGUGCCAGUUGUAGAUUGUUUAAUAAAAUGUUGCUAGCCAGGCUGAUUUGACUGUUUGAAGAAAAACUGAUACUACUCAGGACCAAAUAGAUACUACUAAUUUUCUUUAUCUCGUCAAUUUAAUCUUUGAAUCUUUAUAUUACAAUUAAUUUUCGUAAAUGGUGAGAGAUUGAUUAGACUCACAAUGCCUGAUUAAAGUUUACCCUAUUAUAUUUUCUUGCGUACUCAAUGAAUACAAAUUAAGAAGAAUUAUUAUACUAAUACCUAUGAUUAAGUUCAUGAUGGAAAAUUAUUGAGAAAAAAUUUUGUUCAAUCAAGUAACCCUCAAUAUUCACAUGGAAUAAGAGAUGAGGGGAAAAAAAUCAUUUUGUGAAUGCAGAAAGGGGAAAAAAAAACAUAAAGACAGAGAUUUCUAAUUGUGAUAAUUUUGGUGUUUUUAUUGUGUACUUAAAGUUAAAAUUUUAAAAUUGAAGUGUGUAAGGUAAAAGAGUUCUAAUUUGCCGUUUAAAUAAUUUCAUCCUUUUGCUUAUUAUUAUUUUUUCAUUAUUUAAUUAAAUGAAAAAUUAAUUAUCUAUCCACCCAUGUGAAUAAGAUACCUAAUUAUAAUUUAAGUUACGAAAAAAUACCUAUAUAUGAGAUGGUCACAUGAGAGGGACUUGUUAAAACCCAAUCAAAUGAUAUUAGAGUCUUUAUGCUACCAAGUUAAGCUUGCACGGGUCCAGACUUUUAGCAUCUCAUUUUAUUGUUUGAGUUAAUUUUUUAACUAACUUUUCUUAGUUAUAUAUAACAGAUGGUCCUGGCCCUUUAUCUAUAAGUCUAAUAUCCACAGGCACAAGCAUUGGAGGCAUCACCCUCUUUGCAUUAGUGAUAUUCCUCAUUUACAGAUCAAGAGAAUCUGAAAAAGAAAAAGAGACUCAACUGAAGGUGGAGAAGUUCCUCGAAAACUACAGGACCGUCAAUCCCACCAGAUAUACUUACAAAGAACUCAAGAAAAUAACAAGCAGAUUUAAGCACAGGCUCGGUCAGGGAGGUUACGGAAGCGUGUUCAGAGGAAAGCUCUUCAACGGAAUUCCAGUUGCUGUCAAGAUGUUGGAACAUUUAAAAGGAAAUGGACAAGAGUUCAUCAAUGAAGUGGCCACAAUUGGCAGGAUUCACCACUUCCACAUUGUUCGGCUUCUGGGAUUUUGCUCUGAAGGAAACAGGCGUGCUCUUAUUUACGAGUUUAUGCCCAAUGGAUCACUUGAGAAAUUCAUCUUCUCAAAGACAAAUAGCUCAAGUCAUCGUCAAUUGAGUUGGGAGAAGCUGAGGAAGAUUGCAUUUGGCGUUGCCCGUGGAGUGGAGUACUUGCACCAAGGAUGCAACCACAGGAUCCUGCACUUCGAUAUCAAGCCUCACAAUAUAUUAUUAGACCAUAAUUUUCAACCGAAGAUUUCAGAUUUUGGACUGGCUAAGUUGUGCUCAAAGGACAUAAGCAUUGUAUCUCUGACAGCUGCCAGAGGCACUUCGGGCUACAUUGCACCUGAACUUUUCUCCAGGAAUUUUGGUGAGAUCUCUUACAAGUCUGAUGUUUACAGUUACGGAAUGAUGCUGUUAGAGAUGGUCGGAUGCAGAAAAAAUAAUGAUCCUGCGGUUGAAAUUCAGAGCCAAAUAUAUUUUCCGGAGUGGAUUUACAAUAGAAUGGGGCAAGGACAAGAGCUCUGUUUGGAAUUUGAGGAAGAUGGGGAUGAGGGAAUUGCCAGAAAGCUUGCAAUUGUGGCUCUUUGGUGCAUUCAAUGGAAUCCCACGGAGAGACCUUCCAUGCCAAUGGUAUUACAAAUGCUUGAAGCUGAUUUUCAAAGCUUGGAGAUCCCUCCAAUGCCCUUUGUCUCUUCUGAUGUUGAGACAGGUGCAAUCAAUUGAUCUAGAUAAUAGAAGAUUACAAUUUAAAAGAGAUAUUGUUAAUUUGUUUCAAAAUUUCCCCGAUUAUAAGAAAAAUUAUUUAGUCCUCCUUGUUAUUGGAACACUUGAAAACCAGUAUAUUGAGUUUUUAUUCGAUUGUAGUUGUUUUAUCUAUCGCUUAAAAUCUUUGAUGUGUUUGACUGAUACAACAUUAAUACAAUUAUAGAUGACUUUUUUCAAUUUGUCAUAUUAGUUGAGAACCUACUAUUGUACUUCUAUUAUGUACUUAAAAAUUGAGAUGAAUGAAAUUUAUUAUUUUAAAAUAUAAAAAUCUUAAUAUUAUCACUCACAUUCUUCUUGUAUUUAUAUAUGUUCUCGUAUCAUGCGCUCAACUAAAAUUUAGGAAUCUUUUAUUUUUGAUGGGGCUUUUUUUUUUUCCUUUAAAACCAAAAUAAAGUUGGGAUUCAUUUAUGUUUUAAUCACAUGCUUGUUUCAAAAUUUUACUUUCUUACAAUGUUUUUACAAUUUUUUUAAAAUGUACUCUCAUAUUUGUUAAAUUUAAGAAUUAAAGUCCAUGAUAUUAUAUUCAUCUUUAAGUUUCUCAACAGCUACUUCGGAAGUGAAUCAGACUGGAAGGGAAAAAAUGAACAAAACAACGGAACAGUUCAUGGCUUUACGCUUCUUUAUGGACUGCGGUUGCCUCCAAGAAUAGCCCAAGUCAUUAGUGGGCUUUUUAUGCUCCUCUGAAAAGCCCAAAGCGUCCGUGAUAAAGCAGCUCAUAGGAGCAGUCCCAAUUAUGAAUCUCUCUUAACUCCUCAAGCGGGGUUUCAUUUUGAAUGCCGCCAAUUGCCUCAUUUCACAAUAUAGAUACGCAUGCAUGGAGGAUAUAUAUACACUGGGUUUAGAUGUGUAUACAUAACUUAUAAAGUUAUAAUUAUAUUAGGAGUAUAAUUGUAUAUGUAUGUAUGUGUUUGUCUGUGUGUCUUUCUCUCUCUCUGUAUAUAUAUAUAUAUGAACAAUAAAAUAAUAAUAAAAUGAAAAUUAACAAAUAGCACCUGGAAGAAGAUCAGUAGAUCACUACAGUUUUGAGGGCUAAAUGAAGCUGCACGUUGAUGACAGAAUACAGAGAGCACAAAGAUUUAAAAUACGUUUGCUUAAUGGCAUUUUAAUUUAUGCGCUCUCUAUCUUCUGUCAACAAAAUUUCAGAAAAUUAGGGCCCUCUACUUCAAUUAGAACAAAAACAUGCACCAAAUAUUAAUAAGGAAAAAAAAUCACCAAUCGAUACGUUUUUGUCUCCACAAUAAUAAAUAGCUGCGGAAUGGCCAUCGAAGCGUGCAUAUCCAUAGCAGCAUGACAUUAAAGUGCUUGAUAAAUUGUUUACAGUAGCAUGACUUUGUAUGCCAGAUAAAUGGUUGCAGGCUUAAACGCAUUAAUUUAUGAAGUGCUUCCCCCUUUUAGGCUGGAGAUAAAUCCAAUCUACAUUACUUUCCCUCCUUUUCUUGCUCGCCUUUUGCAAUAGAUAUGUUAUUAUUUUGUUUUUUUAGUACAUUUUCAAUGAGACUACUAUUCCUAUAUCGGCUGCCAAGUUAACCAUUUGAUCAAUAUUUAUUUUAUGGAUUUGAAUUCGACAUGACAAACAUUAAAAACAAGUGGCAUACAACAUGACCAAAUUUUACAUCAAUACAUACAUUAUACUAAUGCAGCUGCGACAUUUGAAAUAAGUGAUUAUUUCAUUAAAGCAAUUUAUGGCAGUGAUACAUACCACAUGAAACACAACAGAACUUGUUACAAUGUCACAAAAUUAAUACGAAAACAUUUGAUGGAGAGGAAAUCUAUGCAGAAGUGAUUUGCCUUCAUAAAAUAUCAUAGUGACACUUUUGACUCUUGACGGCAACGAAGUCUACUCAUAGAACCAAUCUUGAAUCGGAAAUGGAGAGUUUUAAAAAUCACAUGAAAAAUUAGCUUACGAAGACACACCAAAAUGUUGCACCAAGCAUAAGAUUCAAGUAUCCUUAGCUCGAAUCUGUUGUGUGUGACUUAAGUGGAUAUAUCAAACCACAUUGAUUUUUUGUUCCCUUUGCGCCUAACUAGUAUUACAUCGGUGGUCUAACUUUUUUCAUUCAUAUACUGUGUGUGAUGAAUUACAUAUAAAUUGAUCUAAAUUUUAGUCAUAAAUUAUAUCAUUUCUACUCUAAUCUACUUGAGAUUAAUGAACGUCGUAUAUGAUAAAAAAAAUAAAUUAUUAAUAACAUCUCUUUUCUUAUUCUAAUAAUCUAUUAUUUGUUGUCAUAUCUUAUGAUCAAACUAUGUAUUCGACCAUUAAUUUUCCAAUAUCAUUUUUUGAUAUAUUUACUUGUUUCCAUUAUUACAGUCUAACGGUUUAUACUUCUUUCAGGAUUUUGGUGGUCUCAAUGUGAAGCCCAGCUCAUAUUGGGCAUUUGAAAUCGAAAUCAUUAAAAAGCCCAAAAAAUAACUAAUGCGCAAGGAUAGACUCAUAUCCAUAUAUAUAUAUAUAUAUAUAUAAAUGUUCUAAUUUAGGAUUUUAAAGUGCGGGAAAGUUUGAAAAAUCUUUAAAAUUGUAAACUUUUAAAACUGUGCGGUUUUAAAACUUUCCUAAACUUUCCCGCACUUUAAAAUUCUGGAUAUAUAUAUAUAUAUAUAUAUCAGGAAUCCUUAACUUUAAUAAAGUUAGAGAUUAGCCAAAAAACAAAAAAAUUUAGAUUUUAAUACACUACAUAAAAAAAUACAAUCCAUUGGAAUAUGUGUUUAUUUUAUCUUUUAACUUACCCAUAACUUUAUUAAAAUCAGAGAUCCCUAAUUAAAAAACUAAUAUAUAUAUAUAUAUAUAUAUAUAUAUAUACACACACACAUACACAUACAAUAUUUCUAUUAUCCAAAUGUCCGGAUAUUAGUUAUCCUCUGCAUGUUGAAUAUAAGCGGUUGGAUCAAAUUGAGUCAAUCCAACGCUCUUAAAACUUUUGCGCGCUAAACUAGUAAAGUGCAAUAAAUAUUAUAUUGAUUUAUUGUCGUAAAAGAACCCUAGUUAUAUAACUAGUUGUCUGCCUAUUAACUAGUUGCCAAGCCAAAACACUAAUUAUCAUUGACUUUAAUUUUUAAUUUUGAUCGCUACUGUUGGCGGGUUCUCACAAUUAAUAACAGGUAUGCUAAAUUCUUUUAAAAAUAUAUAUGUGUGUAUUAUUUUACUCAUGAGUCAUGAAUAUAAUCUGACGCCUUUUAUUUUAUUAUUUGUAUUGUUCUAUUCUUGUCUACAUCUUUCUAAUUUCCAUGUAGCUAAAAUCCAUUUUCAUAUUAAUUACUAUAGAUCGUGAUGUUAUAAUAAUUUUUUUUUCUUGUUUGAUUUAUGAAGAGAAUGAAUGAUAUUGGAAUAGACACUGGGGAAAGUUAUGAAGAAGCCAAGCAAGAGCAGAGAGACAAAGUUUACAAACCCGUAGUCAUACCACAUGAUCAUAUGCCCAGGUUAUGACAAGAAUUUGUCUUACUAGAUGACGUUCAUGAAUUUUAUAAUGAAUAUGCAAAAAAGGUUGGUUUUAGCGUGAGAAUCAACUCUAGUAAGAAAAGUCACACAGGCGAAAUUGUAAGGAAGGAGUAUAUAUGCUCUAAAGAAGGGGCAACCACUAAAGAAGUAGUUGAAAAAAAACGACGACGCGGUAAAGUGAGAGAGGGUUGUAAGGCAAAACUAGCAAUGGUUAAGUCUAAAUCAGGAACUUAUGUAGCUAGCGUAUUUGAAGAGGAUCAUAACCACCCAUUAACAACACCCCGAAGAGUACACCUUUUAAGAUCUGUAAAGGAAGCUCAUUGUGCUGAGCUUAUGAAGAAUAGAAAGGUGAAGAAGCCGAUAGUUUCAGCAAGUGAAGUUAGUCAAUCAUGCCAGCUCAGCAGUGCCAAGUCAUCAGAGUUAGUUAUGAAAUACCAAGUCAGCACAGGAUGUUAAAGUCUGUUAUUAAUAAUUCUUGUGUGCAUAACUAACUCGUGUGUAUAUAAGCUGUGAUUGAUUAAGUUGUAAAUGACUUUUGUGAAUUGUCCAGAUUCAAUGAAAUAAAAUUUUCUCUGCAAUUUUUCCUUUAAAACAAACAGCUCAAGUUUUCUUUUAUGGUAUCAGAGCCACAAUGGCUAGUUCCAGUACAACUAAUCAAAAUCAUUCGAUUGUUCAUCAAACUCAUUCUCAUCAAAUUUCAUUUACUUUUGCUACAACCGUCAAGCUUGAUCGAUCUAAUUUUCUCCUCUGGCGUAAGCAAGUUCUGACUUCGAUCAGAGGAAAUAGACUUGAAGGUUUUAUCUCAGAAAAUCAAAAUAUUCCAGAACAGUAUUUGUCUCAAGCUCGAACUGAUGGAUCUGUGGAGAGAACUGAGAAUCCAGCAUAUGUAAAUUGGAGAGCUCAGGAUCAGACUCUGCUGAGCUGGCUCUUUUCAACUAUAAGUGAAGGUAUUCUAAGCUCAGUUCUCAAUUAUGAUACUACAUUUGAUGUCUGGAAGUCGAUUGAAAAGCAAUUUGGAGUUCAAUCUGAAGCAAAGGUUAUGCAGCUUCGAUAUGAAUUAGAUACCUUAAGAAAAGAAUCAAUGUCGAUUGAAGAAUAUUGCUCAAAGAUGAAGAUACUUGCUAAUAAGCUUGCCUGUGCUGGUGAUAAUAUAACUGAAAAAGAUCUGCUAAUAAGAACUCUUAAUGGAUUAGGAUCUGGCUAUCUGGAUUUAGCUUCAAUAAUUACAGCAAAUAAAAUGAGUUAUGAUGAUGCAUAUGCACUUUUGUUGAGUCAUGAGGCUAGAUUGGAACAACAUCAGAAUUCUCAGAAUUCUCAGGCCAUGUUUAAUGCUAAUCACAGUAUGAUGAAUGCAAACUAUUCACAAAUGAGGGGAAUUCCUAGGAGAAAUACUUAUGGUAAUGGAUCCUUUGGUCAAUUUGGAGGAAGAAGUCAAAAUUUUGGUCGAGGCAUGUUCUUUAACUCUUAUCCUAGAGGUUUUCCAGCUGGUAGUAGUACUGCUGGUGGUUUUGGAAGAGGUCAUGCUGCAAGCUUUGGAAGAAAUCAACAAUUUACACAUCAUCCUAGGUCACCACAUGUAAGGAAUACAUUUUUACCUGGAAUGAGCUCAAGCAUUUCUGCUGGUGAAUCUAAUGAGUCAAUACCUGUGUGCCAAAUAUGUCACAAACAAGGUCAUACUGCUGAUGCUUGCUGGUAUAGAUAUGGUGAUAAUUACUCUCCUUUUCCAAAACAAUUUGGGAGAGGAAAGAUGAUGGGACCUAAAGCAGCAUAUAUGACCAAUUUUGAGCCAUUCUCAUACCACCAGUCAGCUAUUGAAGAUCCUUAUGAACUUUCUGGUGUCAACUCUGGCUGUCAACCAGUUCAUUACUCCCCUGUUUCUUCUUAUUCAUCAGAAGCAUUUACUUUGCCUGAAGCUUAUGUUGCAAAUCUGGAAGAUUCAUCAGAUGAAGGGUGGUAUCUGGACAGUGGUGCCACACAUCACAUUACAAAUAACAUGGAAAACAUGCAUGUACGAGAAGAAUUCAAAGGUUUAGACCAGCUUACCAUUGGCAAUGGACAAGGUUUGAUCAUUACUCAUAUUGGUGAUGCUUGCUUUAACUAUAAAUGCCUUCAUACUGCCUGCCAGCACACACCUAUAACACUUAAAGAUAUCUUAUUAGUUCCUUCAAUUACUAAGAACUUAAUAAGUGUAUCUAAGUUGACAACUGAUAAUAACCUUUCUAUUGAAUUUGUUGGCAAUGUGUGUUAUGUAAAGGAUUCACUGAAGGGACAGGUGCUUUUGCAAGGUCUUGCUGAAAAAGGAUUAUACAAGUUGCUGUUAAAGUCAUCUCAGACAUCACCCUCUUCUUUCUUGAGUCAAGUUUCUUCAAAUAAGCCUUUGUCUAUGCUAUCUACUUGUCAUCUUUCAUUUCCUGUUACAACUGGUGCUCAAAAUAAUCAUUCAACUUCUAUGUCUUGUUAUCAAACUGUUGUCUCUCCUUGUAAUGCAUCAGUUAAUAAAAUCAGUUUGUUUCAUAGAAGAUUUGGUCAUCCUCAUCAUGAUGUACUAAUACAUUUGCUUAAGAAUGAUAAAACUAUCAAUCUCUCUACCAAUCUUAUCAAACAAUCUGCACAGCAGAUAUGUGAGGCAUGUCAACUAGGCAAGGUUCAUAGAUUGCAUUUUCCUAUUGCUGAAACCAAAACUUCUCACAUCCUUGAACUCAUUUAUACUGAUUUAUGGGGACCCUCACCUAUACCUUCUAGAACUGGUCAUAUCUAUUAUAUCAGCUUUGUUGAUGAUUUUAGCCGAUAUACUUGGAUUUAUCCAUUAAAGUUGAAAUCAGAAGCCUUACAAAUUUUCAAACUAUUCAGAUUGCAAGUUGAAAAACAGUUUCAAUGCCCCAUUAAGAAGUUGCAAUCUGACUGGGGGGGAGAGUACCGAGCAUUUACUGAAUUCUUGAAUCAAAAUGGCAUUAUUUUCAGGCACUCAUGUCCCUAUACACACCAUCAAAAUGGGGUAGUUGAGAGAAAGCAUAGGCAUGUAGUUGAGUCAGGUCUCACACUUUUAGCUCAAGCUAAGUUACCCUUACAAUUUUGGUGGGAAGCCUUCCAAACUGCUGUUUAUCAUAUUAACAGGUUGCCUUCUGCAACUCUGAAAUUUCUUACACCAUAUGAAAAGCUUUUCAGUCAUAAACCAGAUUACAAGAUGCUCAAGUGUUUUGGCUGUGCAUGUUAUCCUUAUUUGAGAGAUUACAACAAGCAUAAGUUUGCAUAUCAUUCUAGUAAAUGUAUUUUCAUAGGUUACAGCCCUUCUCAUAAAGGGUACAAGUGUUUACAUCCAUCUGGUCAAACCUAUAUAGCUAGACAUGUUGUUUUUUAUGAGAAUUUGUUUCUUUACUCAUCAGAUUCUGGUUUCACUUCAAACUCAUCAAAUUCAUGUUCAAACCUACCAUUUACUCCUCAACAAGUGUAUCAUCUAUCCACUUUGUUAAUAUCUCCAAUAUCAGAUGACAGCAACUACUAUAAUCAUGAUUCUGCAAGACCUACCAGUAGCACUUCUCAUCACUCAGGUAAUUCUGCAUACAACAUUGAUCCUCACUCUUUAUCACAAACAGUUCAACCACAUACAGAGCCAGAGCCUUGUACUUCUCCUCAUGAUCAAAUAUCUCCUCAUAAUCAAAUAUCACUAAACACUAUUCCAUCUAUCUCAUCCCUAGAACAUACACAACACAUUACUACACCAGUAAACUCACAUUCCAUGAUCACUAGAAGCAAAGCUGGGAUUUUAAAGCCAAAACUCUACAAUGUCACACUUGUUCAUAAAGAACCAGAAUCUGUCAAAGAAGCUAUGGAGAAUCCUAAAUGGUUUGCAGCCAUGAAGGAUGAGUACAAGGCUCUAAUGGAUAACAAAACAUGGUCUCUGGUUCCUAGAUCAGCUGGUCAGAAAAUUAUUGGCAACAAGUGGGUAUUUAGAGUCAAACAAAAUUCAGAUGGAAGUUUGGCCAAGUAUAAAGCCAGACUAGUAGCUAAGGGGUUUCAGCAGAUUGAAGGGGUUAAUUACUUUGAGACAUUUAGCCCUGUAGUAAAGUCAGCUACUGUCAGAGUGGUGAUUAGUCUAGUUGUCAUGAAACAAUGGGAGAUAAGGCAAGUCGAUGUAAAUAAUGAUUUUCUUAAUGGAGAGCUGACAGAAGAGGUGUUUAUGGAUCAACCAGCAGGCUUUGUCAAUAAUCAGAAACCAGAAUUUGUAUGCAAACUCCAUAAGUCUCUCUAUGGUCUUAAACAAGCUCCAAGGGCCUGGUAUGAGAAGUUAAAAAGCUGCUUGUUACAGUGGGAUUUUGUCAAUUCAAGAGCAGACUCUUCCUUAUUCAUAAAGAAAACAAGAAACUUCAUGAUAAUGGUGUUGAUUUAUGUAGAUGAUAUCUUAAUCACAGGACCAGAUAGUGCAGCAUUGGAAACCUUUAUAACUGAACUGAGCAGAGUCUUUGCCUUGAAAGAUUUGGGUAAUUUGUCUUAUUUUCUGGGCAUUGAAGUUUUGUAUGAUGCAGGUUGUAUCUAUCUGUCACAAAGGAAAUACAUAAGAGACUUAUUAUCCAAAGUUCAGCUACUUGAAUGCAAAGGAAUUGAUAAACCUAUGAGCACUGGGAUAAAGCUACAAAAGGAAACUCCAGGUCAUCUUGGUCAGUAUAUCACUGAUCCUACACAUUAUAGAAGCAUUGUGGGGGGAAUGCAGUAUCUGAUCCUAACAAGACCAGAAAUUGCAUUUGCUGUCAACAAGUUAAGCCAGUAUGUUUCCACUCCUACAUUGCAGCACUUGGUAGCUUGUAAGAGAGUGCUCAGAUACUUGAAGUCUACUUAAGAUUAUGGACUUAAAUUUGCUCAGCAUGGAGAGAUGAAGAUCACAGGAUUCACUGAUGCAGAUUGGGCUGGUGAUCUUGAUGACAGAAAGUCUGUGGGUGCUUACUGCAUUUACUUGGGAAACAAUCUAAUAUCAUGGUCAUCUAAAAAGCAGUCAGUCAUUGCCAGAUCAAGUGCUGAAAGUGAAUAUAGAGCCUUAGCUUCAGCUAGUGCAGAGAUAAGCUGGUUACAAUCUCUGUUUUCUGAAAUUGGUUUAAGCUGUACAGAAACUCCUAGUGUUUGGUGUGACAACAUCAGUGCCACUGAGUUAGCUCGCAAUCCAGUUAUCCAUUCAAGGACUAAACAUAUUGAAAUUGACUUACACUUCAUCAGAGACAAAGUGAUUGCUGGAGAACUGCAAAUUCAGUACAUUCCUAGUGCAGAACAGAUAGCUGAUAUCAUGACCAAGCCUCUCUCAUUUAUUCACUUUAACUAUCUUAGAGACAAACUCAAUGUGCAGAUGUGUCCCUUGAGUUUGAGGGGGGCUGUAAAGGAAGCUCAUUGUGCUGAGCUUAUGAAGAAUAGAAAGGUGAAGAAGCCGAUAGUUUCAGCAAGUGAAGUUAGUCAAUCAUGCCAGCUCAGCAGUGCCAAGUCAUCAGAGUUAGUUAUGAAAUAGCAAGUCAGCACAGGAUGUUAAAGUCUGUUAUUAAUAAUUCUUGUGUGUAUAACUAACUUGUGUGUAUAUAAGCUGUGAUUGAUUAAGUUGAAUAAUGACUUUGUGAAUUGUCUAGAUUCAAUGAAAUAAAAUUUUCUCUGCAACUUUUCCUUUAAAAACAAACAGCUCAAGUUUUCUUUUAAGAUCUCAUCGUAAUGUGUCAGAAGCAAAAAGAUCAUUGACUCGUCAAUUAGCAGCAGCUAAUAUACCAAUACAUCAACAAAUUAGUGUCCUUGAGUUGCAAGCUGGAGGUAUACAAAAUAUUGGAUGUCUUGGGAAAAAUUUAUAUAACGAUGAAACGAAAUCCAAGAAUAAAGUGAAAGGACAUGAUGCAGAUAUGUUGUUAGAGCGUUUUCAGUUGGAAAAAGAGAAAAAUUCAGCAUUUACUUUUACAAUUGAGUCCGAUAAUGAAAAUAGAAUUACCCAUUGUUUUUGGGCUGAUGCAACAUCUAGAAGGGGUUAUAAUUCUUUUGGUGAUGUGGUGGUUUUUGAUACUACUUAUAAUACCAAUAAAUAUGGUAUGAUUUUUGCACCAUUUAUCGGGGUUAAUAACCAUGGCCAGACAAUUGUCUUUGCUUGUUCAUUCUUAAGCGAUGAAACUACUGAGUCUUUUGUUUGGUUGUUUGAGUAAUUUAAAAAAGCUAUGCCUAGUGAUCUACCGAAAAUGAUUAUUACUGACCAAGAUCCAGCUAUAACGAAAGCCAUUUCUGAAACUCUUCCAAAUACAUUUCAUAGGUAUUGUAUCUGGCACAUACUGAAUAAAUUUUCUAAUAAGAUUCAUGCAAUCAAGCAUAAGGAUUAUUAUCCUGAUUUUCAAAAAUGCAUUUGGAAGUCAUUGAGUAGGGAUGAUUUUGAUAGAAAUUGGCUGGAGAUUGUAGAAAAAGGCAAGCUACAUGAUAAUGCAUGGCUAAAAUCAGUUUUUGAAAUUCGUUCAAAAUGGGUGCCUACAUAUGUGAAUCAUGUCUUUUCUGCUGGAAUGUCCAGCAGUCAACAAGCAGAGAGCUGUCAUUCUUUCUUCAAGAGGUACGUGUCUAAAAAAAAUUCAUUAUUGGAUUUUAUGAUACGAUUUAAUAGAGCACUUAAUCACCAAAGACAUGAAGAGUUAAAUGCUAAUCAUGCAGACGUCAAUGAAAAACCUACUUUGAAAUUGCCUUUGAAGAGGGAGAAGCAAAUGGUUAGUCUUUACACACGUGAAAUUUUUUAUAAAUUUCAAGAUGAAUUGUGGGAUAGUUUGCAACAUAAAAUCGAACUUCUAAAAGAAUAUGCUCAUCAUUGUGUGUACAAAGUUGUGAACCAGAAUGAAGAUGAUGAUGUGCACGAAGUUUUGUUUGACAAAACUUUGGAUUUUGCUUCAUGUAUUUGUAAGAAGUUUGAGAGUAAAGGAAUUCCAUGUAAACAUAUUUUAGUUUAUUUUCAUAGAAAGCAAUUUACAUAUUUGCCAGAUCAAUACAUACUGAAGAGAUGGACAAAAUAUGCAAGAUGUGAUAAAGUCAUUGGUGAUGGUGGUUUAGAAAUAGAAGAUUGUUUCCAGAGUUCAAUUCUCAUGAGACGUACUGCAUUAUUUCAACUCGCUUCAAAUGUUAUUGAUAAGGCUGUCAUUAGUGAGGAGGCAAGUAAGAUACUGAUGGAUGAUUUCGAAAAUUCACUUCGGAAGAUUAAGUCAGUUGUAAGUCAGGAUCCAAAAGCUAUGGAGAAAAACAAGUGUACUGACCAACAUGUAUUGAAUGAUCCACUUGUAGUUAGGGCAAAAGGGUGUGGAAAAAGGCUGAAAAAAAGAAAAGAGAAGGCACGAGCUAAGGAUAAAAACAAGCAUUGUCAUGGAUGUGGAAAAAUUGGACAAUCACAUGAUAAAAGAAAUUGUUCAAUGCUCAAAAAUCGGUAAGCAUGUUUAACUUAACAUAUAAUUAUUAUACAACAUUUUUUUAUACUAAUUUUUUUACUCUAUUUUUACUUCACAUAGGUCUUCUUUAUUGGAUGAUGCAGAUAGUUUUAAUGAAAGCUCCUCCUCUAUAGGUACAUGGUCUUUGACAUAACUAUAAAUAUAUUUUGUUGUAUUGACAUUUGUGAAUAUGAAGUAAGAAUCUAAUUAAUUAUUUGUUCAUGCAUGUGUGGUUGACUACAGAUGAAUGACGGUCAAGAUCUGGGUUACUUUGGAUUCAUUUGAGAAAUCAUGGUUAUUAUUCUGACCAUGGGCUUAGCUAAAAUGUUUGGGCAAAUUAGAAUUUUUGUCUUCUGUAAUUAAAUUUUACAGGACUUAAUGAGUGUUAAAUAUUUUUCAAUUAAUUUACCUUAUAUUCCCAUUUGUCUUUUAUUAACUUUUUUAAUUUUAUAGUUGAAUGUCAUUCAAUGAGUUGGUUGCCAGUGAACAAUAAUUUUUUUUUUGAAAAGAGGAUUGUAAAUUAAUUGAGAAAAUUAAUGCGGUUUAAUUAGAAAGAUGCAGAAUAUUUAUAAGAAUUGAACAAUGAAAUAGAAUUGGAAUAUAUAAUUUUAAAAAAAUCAUGAAACAACAAUAAAAGAAAAAGCGCUUGAUUACAUUCAUGAUAAUUAGUAUAUUGAUUUGACAAGACUUCACAUGGGAUAAGUUAUUUAAAUAAAUUUAUAUUUUACCAGAUUUUACACUAACACAAUUUAAUAGACAGACAACUAGUUAUAUAACAAAGGUUUUUUUACGGCAAUAAAUCAAUAUAAUAUAUGUUGCACUUUACUAGUUUAGCGGGCAAAGGCUUUAAAAGCGUUGGAUUGACUCAAUUUGAUCCAACCGCUUAUAUUACACAUGCGGAGGAUAACUAAUAUCCGAACAUUCGGAUAAUAGAAAUAUUGUAUAUAUAUAUAUAUAUAUUAUCAUGUGUGGAUUUCCGCAUCUUUUAAAAUGUGAAUUUACUAAUAUACAAUAUAUUAAUUAUUUAAAAAAAGUUAAUAAAAAUACUAAUGCAUUGUAUGGCGUAUACGCGCUAUCACGCACACCUGAAGUAUUUUAAUUAGUGGAGUUGUGGGGCCUACAACACAACUCCACCAAUAAAAACUUAUCAUGCAUUAUAUUACUCAACUCUGGGUACCUAAUCAUAAUUCUAAAUGUACAUAUAUUUCUUUAUUCAUAAUAAUAAUAAUAAUAACAAUAAUUACAACAGCAACCAUAAUUUUUAGAAACUUGUGACAUGACAUGAGAAGUCCUCAUUCUUCUGCAUGUUGGUCGCUUUAAAAGUGUUGGUCGUCGGGGCCUCUCCAAAUUUCCAAUGCCGCGUUUCUCCAAAUCCUGUCAGGAAAAAAAAAAAAAGGUGGGGUACGCCAGUGUGUUUGGUGGUGAGAAAUUAAGAAAGCGAAAGAUAUUAACUGGAAUUGGACUGCAUUGAAACUGUUUCCAAUAAGUUCCAUCGCUUUUAAUGUUGAAGAACGUUUACCAAGAAAUUUGAGGUCAAGCUAGUAUUGGGAUGGAUCAUCCCAUUCCCACCGAUGCUAACUCAUUUACAAUUACCAGGAAAUUAAGCGACUUCUCCUUGCCGUAUGGACUUCCCCAUUGGAAUCUGAAAGCUUCCACCUAAACAAAUCGUGGAAAGAGACUCCAGAAGCUUCGUGGCAUCCGCAUAAAAAAUUUACAGUAAGAAACGAAAUUGAACAUGUUUAUCUAAUUUGUCCCCAUUGCAGUAAUGCUACAAGCCUAGCACUCAGUAAUUAAAAAUUUUCUUCCAUCGUGUCGAUUUCAUUUUAUGAAUAAUUAAUAUUAUUUUUAAAACAAAUUAUUUAGUGCUAAUUAAUUCAAUCGCAUAGUUGUAUACUAAACUAUAAUAAGUUUAAAGCCCGCCUCUCACCGCAAGUGAAACUGUAGAAAACGUAGCGCAUGAACACUUUUAUACCGUUCUGCUUAGUUUAUUCAAAUUCAUUAAUUGUAUCCUGCAAUUGGAGGAGCAAUGAGUAGUGAAGAAGCUUCAAUUUUCUCAACUUUUCUGUUUUGUCUGUUGAUGUUUGUAUUCAGCACCAGUGAAAUUGAAGCAAGAAAACUUGAAGUACAAAUGUGUUCUUUUUCUUGUGGAGAUGUCAGAAACAUAAGCUACCCUUUUCGCCUCAAGGGCGAUCCAGCUGGAUGCGGUCAUCCGGAGUUAGAACUUUCUUGUGAGAACAACAAAACCAUCUUAGAAUUGUCCAAUUCUGCAAGGUACUAUGUAAAGAGAAUUUCCCAUGAUAAAUGUACAAUCAGUGUUGCCGAUGUUAACCUAGCCAAUGGAAGCUGCGGCCUCCCGUACAAAUCUUUUUCCCUAUAUCCUUACUUUUUCCGACAUAUUAACGGUUACAUUCUUAAAUCAUACGCCCAUUACGUGAAUUGCUCAAGUAAUAUUAUUGAUCAGGCGUAUACGAAAGUUCCAUGUUUGAGUAACAAUCAGUCGAAUGUCUAUGUUUAUGUUGGACAUGUUGGAUAUGGUGUCACCAACCCCAGAAUAUAAGAUCUUCCAGACUCAUGCGUCUUCAUUUCAAAGGUUCCUGUAGUACUUAAAAGGGGUGUGGACAAUCCUUCUUAUGAAGACCUCCGAAAAUCGCUGGAGUCAGGGUUCGAUUUUAAACGGUUAGAUGAGUGCAGGGACAACACAUUUACUGAGUGUAAGCCUAUGCUUAUGUUUAUUUAUGCCUUCAAAUGCAAGCGAUUUGUUUUUUGUUUCUCAAUAUUGUACGUAAUAAAGAAUUUGUGAACUAUAUCUAAGAGCAUACCGAUGUGACCCUUAAUUUCUGUUUCUUUUCACUUUUGCAACAGAUUGCAACUUCAGAUACAAUGGAGUAGUGGCAAAAAUUAUUUGCUACCCAUGUUAUAUGCGUAAGCAUAUCCUUAUAUAUCUUUUUGAUCAUGUGUUUUCGACGUUAAUAAAUGCGACGGCUUCAUAUAUUCUCUAAUCUUUUGCUGUCUAGUUUUUUUCUGAAUCAUCUCUCUGAUUAGGUAUAAAGCAUAUUUAAUUUUUCCCCCUUCUCUCCAAUUGCAGUUUUCGGAGUAAUUUACCAAGCAAUGUUUUGGCCUUCCAUGGGAAAUUGGAUAAGUUUUCUGUUAGGUAAAAUCUCCUCUCCAGGAUCCUCUUUUUAUUGCUUUGCUUACUACUAUUUACUUUCAAUAAACGUUCUCUUUACCAGGGUUUCUAGUUGAUGUUCCGAUAAUUGGUAGAUUUAUUCUUGCUCCAAUAGUCUUUCUCGUGUUCCUUAUCCAAAGAUAUAGAAAAUCAUUGAAGAGAGUUGAUAAUGUGGAGAAAUUUCUGCACAAUCAACAAUCGUGGAUGCCUAAAAGGUACUCUUACCCGGAGAUAAUUGCCGUGACAAACCACUUCACUCAUAAAUUAGGCCAAGGUGGCUUUGGUUCAGUUUAUAAAGGACAACUUCAUACCGGUCGCUUGAUUGCUGUUAAGAUGCUGGAGAACUCCAAGUUCAGUGGGGAGGAAUUCAUCAAUGAAGUUUCAACAAUUGGUAGAAUUCACCACGUUAAUGUAGUCCAGCUAUUGGGGUUCUGUUCUGAGGGAUCCAAACGGGCACUUGUCUACGAGUAUAUGCCUAAUGGAUCACUCGAUAGGCAUAUCUUUCCCAAGGAGAGUAGAGGCCAAUCUUUUAGUUGGGAGAAACUCCACGAAGUUGCUUUAGGAACUGCCCGUGGGAUCGAGUAUUUACACAACGGAUGUGAUGUCUGCAUUCUUCAUUUCGACAUUAAGCCUCACAACAUCCUGCUAGAUCAUAAUUUCAUCCCAAAGGUCUCAGAUUUCGGCCUUGCAAAGUUUCAUCCCAAGGAAAAUGAUUUUGUGUCCAUCAGUGCCACAAGAGGAACCGUAGGAUACAUAGCACCUGAGCUGAUUUCAAGGAAUUUUGGAAAUGUUUCUUGCAAGUCAGAUGUUUACGGUUUUGGGGUGGUCUUGUUGGAAAUGGCUGGCGGAAGAAGGAAUUCUAAUAUGCAUGCAACUCGUUCAAGCAAAGCAUAUUUCCCAUCUUGGGUAUAUGACUAAUUAAAUAAGGGAGGUGAUUUAGAGCUUCGGAAUGUGACUGAAAUUGAGUCCGUGAUUGCAAGGAAACUGUGUAUGAUUGGUUUAUGGUGUAUUCAGGUGAAGGCACCUGAUCGCCCCUCCAUGACAAAAGUUUUGGAAAUGUUAGAAGGGAGUAUUGACGAUUUGCAAAUGCCUCCGAAACCUUUCUUCUCUUCUUCUCGACAUAUCUCCGGAAGAGAGAUUGAGUCAGAUUCUUCAACAUAGUUGUUAGUGUCUGAAUCGAUUGAGGAAUGUUCUUUCAAUGAUAGUUAUGCUUAGUUUUGGCAAUGAUAUGUGUAAAAAAGAAAUAAAUUGUCCUUGUGGUACC